Non-coding RNA from Oryza sativa Japonica Group (Japanese rice), 5419 nucleotides. The record is from RefSeq and is a predicted model, not a curated record. NCBI's taxonomy places the organism in Eukaryota, Viridiplantae, Streptophyta, Magnoliopsida, Poales, Poaceae.
CUGGUUUCGUGGUUCAAGGAAACUUAUUCAAAUUCGACGUCAAGGUGAGAGACCUAGAGUAAACUUAUUCAAACGGUGAAAGACACGUGAAAGUCCAAGAAAUACGAACUGGGCCGGCCUGCUAACACACUCGCAGGCCCUCUUGCAUCCUUUGCAAGUACACAGCUACGGCAAUCGCGAAACCGCCACCGCGGUGUCUCAUCGUCCUCGCCGCCGCCUCGUCAGUCGUCGCCGCCACUGCGCCACCCCGCCGCGCACGGCAGGUCGUCGCUGUGGCUUGGACGGCGAACUCUCUCGACGUUUCCACCGUUCUCGUUCGGGGCCUACGGGCCGAGGGGGCUUAGGUAGAAUGAAGCCAAUGCGCACUCGGGAUCAUGGUGCGGCCGAGGUGUUCGACGAAAUGCCUCCCCGGCUGGGGUGGGGGGGGGGGGGGGGUCAGUCCGUCCCAGAGCGGCGCGUUGCAGCGACGGAGUGAUUCGGGGAGACAUCCAGGGCGCUGCUGCUCCGCCGGUGCCGGUCCCUUGACGCCCUUGUCGCAUUCCUGCGUGCCUACUACGCACCGUCCUACCUGUCGGCUGAGGACGCCAUGCGGAUGAUCGACGAGCACGCCGGGAUCCCACUCUGCUCAUAGCUGCAGCUCAUCCUUGCGCUCAGUACCUCAUCACUGAUUUGAUGCUAUGCUGCCCAGUGCCAUUGUCCAAAGCACCUAGUGGCUGCUAUGGCUGUGAGAUUGAAGGGUUUAAUCUGGUGCACCCUGACACCGAAGAUUUCUAUGGGCACCUGGCUCAACAUGAAGGUGAUGCCUAUUUCUGUAAGAGAAUUCCUGCUCAAGAGUUCAGCAAUCCAUUAUAUGAGGAUUGUGUACUCUUUGAGCCUUGAACACUAAAUAUUGUGUAGCUUUUCGUAGAUAACUUACUCUGGUAGGGAUCAUGAUGAGAUUGACUUCUCUUUUGGCUAUUCUGCUCUGGUUCGACAUUCUGUACAGAUUUUAGUUCUCCCUUUGAUUUCACAAUGUCUGUCAAUAGCGUGUUUAAGAUACAGUGAUCUAGCUUAGUAGUAGAUUCUUGUAAAAUAUGCAAAUAUAAAUGACUUGGAUGAAUAAGAAUUAUAUUGUUCGUGUACAUUCGUUGCAACAUGGUAAUAUGUUCUUAUUCAUGUUGUUGGUUACUUUUGCGAGUUGUGGCAAAGUUGAAUGUUUCCUUCGGUAGGGGAUAAAUAUAAGCUCUAAGUUCAGUUAAACUUCACUUAUCUUAUGGCAUAUAAGUGCAAGCGUGUGUAUAUUUCUUGUGUUACUUAAGCCUCCUAUAUUUCUGCAUAAUUGAUAUCCUAACAGUUAAGAUUUAUCGACAAUAACUUCAGGAAAGAUUCAAUUCUGAGUCUAUUUUGCCUGGGCCACUAGAUGAGGAUUGGAUUUUUAGAUAAUGAAAUGAGGAUUGGAUUUUUAGAUAAUGAAAUGAGGAUUGGAUGCCUAACAAACACUAUGAGACUGCAAGUUUCUUGGAGACAACUUUUACUGCUAGCAAUUGUCAAAAUGACAUUGACCUAUCUUUUGGCUGUUUUAGGUCAGUUUGGAGAUUUAUAACCUGAAGUCAUCUGUAUUGUAGGUGAUUGUAAAUAUUGUAGAAGCCCAUGUAGAGGCACAAACUACUUUAUUUUUGGCUUUUGGAAAUCUAAUUUGACCUUAUGGAGAAAGUUAGGCCAUCCUUAGCUUAUAAUAUUGCUAUUGUAGUCCAAUGCAUGUUCAAAAGUAGCAUCAGUAUACUAAACAGAACAGAUACUUAUUCUACUGCUUUGUAUUUUUCAGGUAAGAUCCACCUUGGACUAGUCCAUGCUAUAUGGCUACAACAACGCAGGCAUUGCAGUAGUUCUCUGAUAGGGAAACCAACUUAUUAGUUCUAUUCUGUUAAUGUUCUUCAGAGUUCAAAUACCUUAAUGAAGAGCUUUCUUAUAAAGAGGGAGAAUUUUUACUAUUCAUUUUGUUAUUAUUCAUGUCAACUAUGGAGGUGAUGAGGAAAAUAUACCCUGGCCAGGAUAUAGGAUGAACCUGUCCCACUUUUUUAUCUUUAGUGUACCUCUCCAACCACUACCAAGGCUAACAUGGUGGCCUAGUAUAUAUCAGACCAGGAAAUGGGGGAGGAGUGUUCUAAGGAAAUACACCUAGUACAGGUACCAACAAAAAUGUGUUAGUGGGCCCAUAUGUCAGUGAAAGGUGGGUUCUAUACUUUAAAGGGUGCUAAACACUAGAGGGAAGAACAAACUUAGUGUUUGUACUGUGGCACUUCUUUGCAUUGGUACAUUGAGUACAACAUUGUGCAUGCCAUGUAAGCCCUUCAAUGAUCAAAGCACACCUCAAGUUCAUUUCAUUGGAAAAUGAUCAUUAAAUCUUCAGCAUUUAAUUUGUCAAUAUUUUUAUCAUGCAUAUCUGUCUUUCAUAGUUAUUGAUGCAUGUGUAACUGAUUAUGAUAACUUGCAAUCUGUUUAGUUUAAAAACUUACAAUUUCUUAUGCACAAGAUGUUUGGCAGGGUGCGCCAGGCUGGUGAGCACGCAAGUUAACAACACAACUGCUAUAUUUUCAAACAUAUCUUUCAGGCAUCAACUCUGCUGACUGCCUGAUCAGCUCUACCAAAAUAUGGAUCUGCAAACGCAAAUGUCAUAUGUUGGCAGUUCUUUUAAAGAAAAACAGAUGUGCAGGAAAAUUGUGAGCAAACUCGUAAGGUAAAUAGCAGUCUCUGCUUCUCCGGUAAAUGUAGUUGAUUUUCUCAUGGAAAUAUGGCAAAAUGAUGUUUACAUUGUUUUACGCUGGAGGUCUAGUCUCCAGCUUUAAUAAAAUCAAAUGGUGCAAUCUUCUAAUGAGAUGGAUUGUUUUCCAUCUCCAGAUUCACAUAUACUACAUUAAGCUUUUAGCUCAAUGCUUUCUCGUUCCCAAACUGUUUAUGCUUUUAUGUAUUUCACCAUAUAUACUCCAAAUCCUUAAGAAGGUGAUUGUGUUGGGGACCCAAUGAAGGCUUUUUGUGAUUCUAUGAAGUUUUAGUAAUACACUUGGUACGAAUUAUAAUGUAGUUCAUGACAUAACUCAAAUAAAAUUUAGCUAGUGAUCGAGCUUUUCACUGCAAUAUAAUCUGCAGCUUGUCAAGUGGCAUCAGUGAGAGCAUGACAGGGCACCACGCCAUUAGAGCUUUACUUGCUUGGCUGUGCUCUGCUCACCAUUGCCAUGCACUCCAUUUCUUGCUAAGUGCUAACCCAUUCUGGAUUUGUUUAUCUUCAAAUCCUGAACGUACCAUUGCUUUCUCCUAGAGCUACUGGCUAAAAAAAAAGAUGGAUAAAUUAAAUUUGGUAGGUACUGGCACUUUGAAAGUACAAGCACUGGACCAAUAUCAACUGGUUUUUACCAGAGUAGUGCACUCCCCUAAUUGUCCUUUGACCUUGAAUUUUAUAAUUGAAGUCAUUUCCUAUCCUCCACUGCUGAUAUCAGUCGAUGGCCUUUGCACUACCAAAAGAAGUUUCACUAGACAGCCAUUCCUCAAACAUAAUGGUGUUUGGCUAGACAACCAUUCCUGGAACAGAAUCUUUGUAAUAUUAAAUUAUGCAUGUUUUAUGAUGGAACAAGUGAUCCCGAAAUGUGCAAAUCCACAUGUAAAAUAUUAUAUAUCUAAAUAAGUGAUUGUCUAGUGAAGCUACUGUUUCAGCCAAAAAAUCCUCUUGCAACCAAGGGGAUUUCCUUGGGCAAAACAGCCUCAUGAAAAACCAUUUGUUCUUCCUAUGUUAAUAACAUGUAGUACAAUCUAGCCCAAAGACCACAAUGUUCCAUAGCCAUGCAAUGACCUCUUUUUCCUUUUCUAUGAUUGUCGUACAUUUCCUUCCUUUCAAACAUAAAAUUUCUUCUUCCAAAAAUCAUUAUUAAUUACAGAAAUAUAAAAUACUUUUCAUAUUAACCCGGCUAAAAGUACUUUUCAUAUUUCUUCUAUUAUGCAUAACAAAUUAGAUAAAUAGCCAUCUUACAUAAAAAUCAUUAUUAAUUACAGUAAUAUAAAAUACUUUUCAUAUUAACCUGGAUAAAAGUACUUUUCAUAUUUCUUCUAUUAUGCAUAACAAAUUAGAUAAAUAUCCAUAUUACUUUUUUUUAGAGAAGGGUUUUUUUUUUUUACCUAGCCUCUACAUCCAACCGGAUGUAUGUAGCCAUUUUAAAUUGGGAACUUAGCCCAUUAAACAACCUAAUAAUUCUCUCCUAUGGAGAUUUGAACUAAGGACCUUGCGGUGCAACGCAAGUCACUGCAACCACUAGACUACAUGCCCUUUCGCAGGCAUCUUACAUAUACAACUUGUAUUGCUUUAUAUUACUAAAAGUCCAUGCAAACAACACACAGGGUAUCAUCUAUAUUAUGUACCUUUCCAAACUGUAGCAAGAAAUUGAUUUUAUUACAUACGACUUACAAGGUAAUAUGGAUACAUGUGUGUUGUACCAUAUAUACACGUGUUAGAACUCGUGCGACCUGUUUUACUUCAUUUCAGAAUACAAUGUAUUUUCCUCCAAAAAAUAAUACGACGUGUUUGCACCUUUUUCUUUUUUUUGAGAACUCAAGGAAGGCCCAAGUGCGCCACCUUUCAGAAAUAAUACAUUCAUGUGCGCCACCUCAGCCGUUUUCAGAAGGAAUAUAUGGAAAAGUAUUGUCGACCAUCGUUCUUCCCAUGUCAGUGAGCUUGGCUGGGCAUACGGUGAUCCUCAACCCACAAGACUUUAGAGACGGAUGGGGGUGUUCCAGAUACAUGGUCAGGCCUAUUGUGCAUCAUCCGCCUUUCGAGUUGCUGGCCUUCAUUUUUAUCCUUGCUACCAAUCAAUCUUAAUAAAGGUUGCACUCAGGUAGAAAAGUACAGAAACUGGUAAAGAUGUCUCAAUUCCCAACAGUCUUUUCUCCAUUUCUCUGUUCCUUCCAAUGACAAUUACACCCAAGGACAAGACAGUAAGGUCAAACAAAAACCAUCUUUAUUUCCUUAACAAGACUGAAGGAAAUGCUUUUUUUUUUUUAGAAAAAGAAACCUCACACGCAAGCACAAACUAAAGUUAGACUCCUGCACGGCUUUACUAGCUUAGCUCCAUGGCCAACAGCCGAUCGACCUCACCGGCCAAUCUUUGAAGCCGGAGAUGAGCAUGGGUGCACCCUCUCACUGGUCCAUGAGUGGCAACUCUUCUCAUCAGCAGCCAUGAACUUGUUCUUCUCCUCCUCUUCUCCUUCACACAUGCCCUUCUUGCUCUUCUCCUCCUCUUCUGCCAUCAUCUUCUUCAUCUUCUCUUCAUUGGUCCUCCUGCACCUGUCCUGCUGCACAUGAAUCUGUGCAUAGCUGAAUCCUAUGGAAGCCAUGCUGAUUUAGAGGGACAAGAAUGAUGCAGACUUGUUGUGGUUAAGUGUGUUUGGGUAGAGA